This is a long non-coding RNA of Gadus morhua (Atlantic cod), 1669 nucleotides long. RefSeq lists it as uncharacterized. The record is from RefSeq and is a predicted model, not a curated record. NCBI's taxonomy places the organism in Eukaryota, Metazoa, Chordata, Actinopteri, Gadiformes, Gadidae. The transcript is spliced from 4 exons.
GAAGUGGAGAGGCGGAAACGCGUCCACUCUCUGACACCAGCAUAAAGUCAGACCACCACCUAGCGACCCAGCGACAAAUCAGAAAAAAGGAUCGGGUGUCAGAAUAAUCCAGUACGUCCAUCUUUCACCAUCCCUAACUGCAGAUCUCGUGCUGCCGACACCAACCCCAUAAUGAUCCAGAUCUCUCCAUGGGACAGAUCGGUAGGAGAUGACAUCAGAGGUCGGCGUGCAGGGGACAGGGAGGUAGGAGAAGGGAUUGUGCUUUUUAAGUUGUCCGUCACAAGUCAACGCCGCUGUCGGGUGAGUGGUGUGUGAACGGGUCUUGCCGUGGAUUCCCAGAAGAACCAGUAGGAAAGAAUUAACAAUAGCUCCUUGGCGAAUCUCUUGAAUUAGACACAAUCGUGCCUCGCGGCGCUCUAAUGCCUGGAACUCCAUCCAAACCGCAAGACGAUCAGCCUAUCCCAGCCCGGUAUCAGCCCCGCCACCCUGCUUGCUGUCUACAUCUUGUUGACAGCAGGGCAUCAAUAACAACCAAGAGGCCGCAGUCAGUCAGUAAAUGUAAAAAAGGGUAAGGUGUAGAGGGAGCAGUUAGGACGGCCUCUUUUAUUAAAUUUUUUUGUAUGUUUACCCCCAUUAUGUGCGCCAUCUCCAUCCAACACAGCCCACGAAGAGUGUGUGUGUGUGUGUGUGUGUGUGUGUGUGUGUGUGUGUGUGUGUGUGUGUGUGUGUGUUUUUGUGUUUCUGUGUCUGUGCGUGUGUGUGCAUGCGCGUCUGUGUGUGUGUGUGUGGGGCUACCAGGGGAUGCUUGAGUUGAUGGUUGUUUCUCCAGGCGAAACACUUCUCAGCAGAGCCCCCCCCCCCCCCCAACACCACCACCCCCGACAUGUCAGGGAGCUCCAGAACGGUUCAUGCCACUUCUUGCUCGCUGCUCACUAUUUUCGGUUGUCAUAACACCUCCCCAGGGCAGUAGCCGGUGGUUUGUCUUUUUCUUCUCCUCACAGAUUUAGCCUGUUUUCAGAGGAGGAGACGAAGAAGGAGGGACAGACGGACGAUAGGGGGGACAGAGGGACACACAGAAUGGGGCCCGACGACCAGCCGUUUGGCUAUUCACGAGGCCUCCAGAGUGAAAGCGGGAGAGGAGAUGGUCUUAGCGGUGUUCCUCAACACCUGAGCACCACAGGCACAUACUGGAUUCCAGGACUCCAGGAGUGGAAGGCGGCAGAGGAGUAGAAGAGUAUGACCAUACGGCACGCAGAGAAGGGGGAGUGAGGCAGACGCUUAUCAAGUCAUAUCCCAGUGGCAGCAACGGCCAGGCUGCAGGUGCUCUCUGGUGGAGCAGGAAAGUCCCUGGGAACAGAACAGCACACAGAGCCACCCAGAACAUUCCGGGGACGAGGGAAGGGCUGCUAUUAGGUCUGAUGUACAAACACAUGUCCAUCGAAUGUCCAACAUGAUGCAAAGCUUCUGAGGCAAACCUCUUCAACCCUCGCCAAGGUUGUCAAUCUCCCGUCUAACACGCAACCGUUCUACUUUUCAAAGGAUGAACUGUUCGAUGCUCUACCUCAGACAGGGCCAUGUUAAAUAAACAUCAUUAUAAUCUGCUGUCUGCGGACCAAUGGAUGGCGGAACCCCACCUGAAGCUCAAGUCAGUCUGCCCGGGUCUCAGAGG